RNAcentral lists this long non-coding RNA (536 nucleotides) under Cyanistes caeruleus (blue tit). RNAcentral's name for it is "lncRNA (ENSCCEG00000011583.1)". Lineage: Eukaryota; Metazoa; Chordata; Aves; Passeriformes; Paridae. The record is from RNAcentral.
CAUUGCCAUUUACAUUUAAUCUCAUAUUUUCUUCCAGUUUCUACAGUUUCCUGACUUUACACUUUAGCAAACUGAAAAUUGUUUUAGGAAAUUAAGUUCCCAGAACAACAAAAUCAAACCUUUAUCAUUAGCAAAGCAGACUGACUCUGGCAGAAACAAAGAACUUUGCAAAAACAAAAUUAAUUCCACAACAUUGUGAGAUAAUAUGCAUCUAUAAAAUGCAGUUUUCCAAUUUUCUCUCUUUUGUCCCACUUAGGAAAAAAACAGAACACUUCAGCAGCAAGUUUAUGGAAGCUCUGUUACAACAAGAGGCUUUCAAAGGUAGUUCCUUCAAAAAUUUCAUCUACCACUGUUUAAGCUUAGCCUGGGACGUGGAUGCACAGAAAGAGGUGGGCAGCAUCUUGGAACAUCCUUUUGAUGUGUGUGGUCAUUUUCACAACUUGGUAAGCUUAAUAUCUCAAAGUUGUAGACAUGGUUGUGCUCACACACCAUUUGUCACUGCUGUACCAUUACAUAUAUGCCGUGGGCCAAAAUAA